GACGAACGCUGGCGGCGUGCUUAACACAUGCAAGUGGUGCGACGAACCAGGCUUCGGCCUGGGGCGAAGCCGCGAACGGGUGAGUAACACGUGGGCAAUCUGCCCCGUCGAUCGGGACAACCCGGGGAAACCCGGGCUAAUACCGAAUGUGGUGCCGGCUCAUGUGAGCCGGGACGAAAGGAAGCUUCGGCCUCCGCGACGGGAUGAGCCCGCGGGCCAUUAGCUUGUUGGUGGGGUAAUGGCCUACCAAGGCAACGAUGGGUAGCUGGUCUGAGAGGACGAUCAGCCACACUGGGACUGAGACACGGCCCAGACUCCUACGGGAGGCUGCAGUGGGGAAUCUUGCGCAAUGAGCGACAGCUUGACGCAGCAACGCCGCGUGGGGGAAGAAGGCUUUCGGGUCGUAAAACUCUGUUGUUGGGGAAGAACAAGUGCUAGUUACCUAAGCUGGCACCUUGACGGUACCUAACCAGAAAGCCACGGCUAACUACGUGCCAGCAGCCGCGGUAA
This 510-nucleotide ribosomal RNA is filed under the name uncultured bacterium. Its description in RNAcentral is "partial 16S ribosomal RNA". It matches the Rfam family "Bacterial small subunit ribosomal RNA", at positions 28 to 523 of the family's 1533-position model. The record is from RNAcentral.